Long non-coding RNA from Micropterus dolomieu (smallmouth bass), 892 nucleotides. RefSeq lists it as uncharacterized. The record is from RefSeq and is a predicted model, not a curated record. NCBI's taxonomy places the organism in Eukaryota, Metazoa, Chordata, Actinopteri, Centrarchiformes, Centrarchidae. The transcript is spliced from 4 exons.
UGACGUGCACCUCCUCAAAAAUGCAACUACGUAUACAAUUUUACCCCCCUUUACGUUGGCGGAGCGCAAUACGAGUGCAAACUCUACAGUGAGUCGCGCGCCCUGGUUGGUGGAGAGGGACCGUAUACUGCCAAUCGGGACGCAGAACUCCACCGCAGACUGCCAAUCACGCAUCGAUAUGCUCGCGCAACACAGCGGAUCCCACUGCGGCUGCCGAAGGUGUUCUGUUCUGGUACGACUGAAAUUGGAUCUAUUAAUAAUAACACUCCUAAAAUUGGAUUUAUUAAUAACACUCGCCGUUUAGACUAUAGUUUUGGAAGGCUGGACGCAGUGCGGAGGCCACUGCCCUGGUCCACGCAGAGAGGCUCCUCCUCCGAGAGGGUAUUCCUGCGCCGUCACGUCAGCUGUGCCUGGGAAAGCUGGUGGUGCCAUUUGGCCAGUAUUUGACUGCACCGUUUCACUGGCUUGUGGCAAAUGAUGUGGGCUACAUGAAGUAUGUGCUUGACACGCACAGAUUAGAGAUGAAAAACCCACAUAGAAAGGGAGAGAUGGUGAACCAGUGGGUGAAAGACUACCUCACAGAAUAUGCUGAGAGCUUCCCACAAAUCUCCUGUCUCCUUGAGGCCAACGCCGACAGGUGUAUCUACGGUCAGAGAGGGUUUGAGAAUCACACUUUUCAGGAGAUGUGGGAAAUCAUCAUAAGGAUAGACCAGAGCAAUUCAGUGAUGAGCCGAGGGAGAUAAUACAGAAGUCAUGCAGUUCUGUGAGGCGGUGGUUAAACACAGCAGUCACCCACAUCACAAGCGUGCAGAUGAAGAGGUUCAGGAAGUAUAUCACUGACAAAGAGCGACAGCCACAGGCAAGCCCCUUCAUGUGUGGUCCUUCGUCAUUG